RNAcentral lists this non-coding RNA (30 nucleotides) under Rattus norvegicus (Norway rat). The record is from RNAcentral. Lineage: Eukaryota; Metazoa; Chordata; Mammalia; Rodentia; Muridae.
UGACAAUCGGGCAAAGGAAUGAUGGUAAUU